UGAGGUAAGAGCUCACCUAGGCGACGAUGUGUAGCCGGUCUGAGAGGAUGAGCGGCCACAAUGGAACUGAGACACGGUCCAUACUCCUACGGGAGGCAGCAGUGGGGAAUAUUGCACAAUGGGGGAAACCCUGAUGCAGCAACGCCGCGUGAGUGAAGAAGGUUUUCGGAUUGUAAAGCUCUGUUAGCAGGGAAGAGGAAGGACGGUACCUGCAGAGGAAGCCACGGCUAACUACGUGCCAGCAGCCGCGGUAAUACGUAGGUGGCAAGCGUUGUUCGGAAUAACUGGGCGUAAAGGAUGCGUAGGCGGUUGAGUAAGUUAUGUGUUAAAUAUAUAGGCUUAACCUGUAGAAAGCACAUAAAACUGUUUAACUAGAGUGCAGGAGAGGUAAGUGGAAUUCCUAGUGUAGCGGUGAAAUGCGUAGAGAUUAGGAAGAACACCAGUGGCGAAGGCGACUUACUGGACUGUAACUGACGCUGAGGCAUGAGAGCAUGGGGAGCAAACAGGAUUAGAUACCCUGGUAGUCCAUGCUGUAAACGAUGGGUACUAGGUGUGGG
This 557-nucleotide ribosomal RNA is filed under the name uncultured bacterium. Its description in RNAcentral is "bacterial SSU rRNA". It matches the Rfam family "Bacterial small subunit ribosomal RNA", at positions 253 to 826 of the family's 1533-position model. The record is from RNAcentral.